Long non-coding RNA from Panicum virgatum (switchgrass), 2040 nucleotides. RefSeq lists it as uncharacterized. NCBI's taxonomy places the organism in Eukaryota, Viridiplantae, Streptophyta, Magnoliopsida, Poales, Poaceae. The record is from RefSeq and is a predicted model, not a curated record. The transcript has 5 exons.
GCCAUCGCCGCCGCCGGCCACCGUCGCCGCCGCACCUCCCCUCCUCCGACGUCCACGGAUCGAGGUACUCCUCUUCCACCUCGCAUCUCCAUCUCCUCCGCAUCACCCCCUUCCUCUUCCUCAACGGCUCGCUCCCUUCCUCUUCUUGCAAGAUGCCUCUGUACACCCCCAUCGCAGGAACCGCAGGUGGAUGGACCUGGAUUCGGCACCACCGUUGACUUGAAGUUUGAGGAACUGCGGCGAUCUGCUGCCAGCCGUCGUCAAUCAUGAGGAACCGCGGCAGCGCGCCGCCCUUGGCCAGGCUGCAGGAGGAUUCAUCGAUUCAUUAGGAGGACAAGAUCGAGCAGAGCAGGUGGAGGAGGAAUUAAUCUCGCCAGUGAACAGAACAGGCCGGCAUACCUCUGGAGGCCGCGCUUGACGCCGUCGGCGGUGACGUCGGUGUAGAAGGCGUCCCAGGUGCACCAGCCGAACCAGUCGAGGAACGACGGCAGCUUCUUCCUCUCCCGGUGGUGGAACGUCUGCAGGUGCUUCUCCACCGCCCGGACGGCGGCGCCUGCUCGUAUAGUAGCGCCGUACCAUGCACCCAUGUUGCAUCCACACUUGGGGUCUUGGGGAUCGGAGCAGUAAUGGUGGCAGAAGUAGACCGGGAGGUUGGCCAGGUACAUUUGGCUUAUGAGUAUGCAGGCAUGCUUUAACGCUGUUGCCAUACUGAAAUCUAGUUUCCCAGUACCACUAUUCAAGUAAACCAUGACUCUUGACCUUUGGUUAGUUUUGAUGAGCAUCCAGAGCGACACCAUCAUCAUGCUCUUAACACUAACCAAAAUGGUACCUGAAAACAUUAACUUGGAUUAGAAUAUAGUACUAGUAGUAAUGUGGUGGGAUUAAACUUAUUGCAGCCCCUUAAAUUUCGAUCAAUGCCAUGUUGGGAGGCACCAUUUGGCAUCAACUUAUUGUGCUGAGUUUUGGUUAUAAGAGAAAAAAUGGGAAUCCUGCAUUUAUUGGCUUGGAGAGUGGGGCAUGAAAGGCUAUAGGAGUUGAUCUUGCACACCUCCAGCUAGGCGUCCAUGACAACUGCAGCACAGAUCAUACGGGCUGUGUUUAUAUGCGAAAAGUUUGCAAAAAGUGAAGCUGAAAAGCACUGUAGCACUUUUCAUUUGUAUGUGGUAAAUAUUGUCCUAUCAUGGGCUAACUAGGCUCAAAAGAUUUAUCUCGCAACGUACAUCCAAACUGUGCAAUAAGUUGUUUUGUUUAGCCACAUUUAGUGUUCCAUGCAUGCAUCAUUUGCUAUAUUUAAUGUUUCAAUGUGAUUUCGAUGUGAUGGAAAGUUUGGAAACUUUGGAGGAACUAAACACAGCCACGGUGGUGGGAGAUGAGCAAUUUGAGCAUAGUAGGCCCAAGCUAGUAAAGGAAGAGCUGCGGAGACAGCCAAAAAAGGUUAUCUUGUCAGAGGUUCGUCAAGUGGUUCAGCAGAUGCAAGCUGUCCAUCAGCAUCUUGAAGAAGCUCUUGAGCGGUCGGAUUCUUAGUGACAAUCAAAGUUCAAUGACACCAGAAACUCUUCAAGCUUUGGUCUGUUGCAAAGAUUGGUUGUACACAUAUCCCACCAAUGAAGUGAGUUAGGGAGUUCUGAGAAGCUUAUCCUUUGCACGAGCUGGCUUGUGAACUUUGUGGUUUCGUACCCUCGAUUUUGACUCAUAGAUCAGAGAAAGAAUGGAAGGGCAACCAGGCUUUUCCAGGCUCUUUGGUUCUGCAUCUCUUUAGGCUGUUUGGUCAGCAGGAUCAGAGUUCAUGGCAGAAGUACAUCUGAAUGAGCAGAAACCUAUUCCGAAGGCUCAGUCGGGAGGUGAUUCAAGUGGCAACAAAUCGAAUGAUUGCUAUUUUCCAGGCCUUCAUGAUGACCUGUCUCAAGAUUGCCUUGCUUGGUCAAGCAUAUCAGACUACCCUUCCCUUUCUUGUCUGAAUAAAAGAUUCAAUUUGUUAAUUAACAGUGGAUAUCUGUACAAAUUGCGAAAGAAAUAUGGCAUUGUUGAGCUUUGGGUGUA